RNAcentral lists this ribosomal RNA (2953 nucleotides) under Staphylococcus aureus subsp. aureus 71193. Its description in RNAcentral is "bacterial LSU rRNA". It matches the Rfam family "Bacterial large subunit ribosomal RNA". Lineage: Bacteria; Bacillati; Bacillota; Bacilli; Caryophanales; Staphylococcaceae. The record is from RNAcentral.
CGUUUGACUUAUAAAAAUGGUGGAAACAUAGAUUAAGUUAUUAAGGGCGCACGGUGGAUGCCUUGGCACUAGAAGCCGAUGAAGGACGUUACUAACGACGAUAUGCUUUGGGGAGCUGUAAGUAAGCUUUGAUCCAGAGAUUUCCGAAUGGGGAAACCCAGCAUGAGUUAUGUCAUGUUAUCGAUAUGUGAAUACAUAGCAUAUCAGAAGGCACACCCGGAGAACUGAAACAUCUUAGUACCCGGAGGAAGAGAAAGAAAAUUCGAUUCCCUUAGUAGCGGCGAGCGAAAUGGGAAGAGCCCAAACCAACAAGCUUGCUUGUUGGGGUUGUAGGACACUCUAUACGGAGUUACAAAGGACGACAUUAGACGAAUCAUCUGGAAAGAUGAAUCAAAGAAGGUAAUAAUCCUGUAGUCGAAAAUGUUGUCUCUCUUGAGUGGAUCCUGAGUACGACGGAGCACGUGAAAUUCCGUCGGAAUCUGGGAGGACCAUCUCCUAAGGCUAAAUACUCUCUAGUGACCGAUAGUGAACCAGUACCGUGAGGGAAAGGUGAAAAGCACCCCGGAAGGGGAGUGAAAUAGAACCUGAAACCGUGUGCUUACAAGUAGUCAGAGCCCGUUAAUGGGUGAUGGCGUGCCUUUUGUAGAAUGAACCGGCGAGUUACGAUUUGAUGCAAGGUUAAGCAGUAAAUGUGGAGCCGUAGCGAAAGCGAGUCUGAAUAGGGCGUUUAGUAUUUGGUCGUAGACCCGAAACCAGGUGAUCUACCCUUGGUCAGGUUGAAGUUCAGGUAACACUGAAUGAAGGACCGAACCGACUUACGUUGAAAAGUGAGCGGAUGAACUGAGGGUAGCGGAGAAAUUCCAAUCGAACCUGGAGAUAGCUGGUUCUCUCCGAAAUAGCUUUAGGGCUAGCCUCAAGUGAUGAUUAUUGGAGGUAGAGCACUGUUUGGACGAGGGGCCCCUCUCGGGUUACCGAAUUCAGACAAACUCCGAAUGCCAAUUAAUUUAACUUGGGAGUCAGAACAUGGGUGAUAAGGUCCGUGUUCGAAAGGGAAACAGCCCAGACCACCAGCUAAGGUCCCAAAAUAUAUGUUAAGUGGAAAAGGAUGUGGCGUUGCCCAGACAACUAGGAUGUUGGCUUAGAAGCAGCCAUCAUUUAAAGAGUGCGUAAUAGCUCACUAGUCGAGUGACACUGCGCCGAAAAUGUACCGGGGCUAAACAUAUUACCGAAGCUGUGGAUUGUCCUUUGGACAAUGGUAGGAGAGCGUUCUAAGGGCGUUGAAGCAUGAUCGUAAGGACAUGUGGAGCGCUUAGAAGUGAGAAUGCCGGUGUGAGUAGCGAAAGACGGGUGAGAAUCCCGUCCACCGAUUGACUAAGGUUUCCAGAGGAAGGCUCGUCCGCUCUGGGUUAGUCGGGUCCUAAGCUGAGGCCGACAGGCGUAGGCGAUGGAUAACAGGUUGAUAUUCCUGUACCACCUAUAAUCGUUUUAAUCGAUGGGGGGACGCAGUAGGAUAGGCGAAGCGUGCGAUUGGAUUGCACGUCUAAGCAGUAAGGCUGAGUAUUAGGCAAAUCCGGUACUCAUUAAGGCUGAGCUGUGAUGGGGAGAAGACAUUGUGUCUUCGAGUCGUUGAUUUCACACUGCCGAGAAAAGCCUCUAGAUAGAAAAUAGGUGCCCGUACCGCAAACCGACACAGGUAGUCAAGAUGAGAAUUCUAAGGUGAGCGAGCGAACUCUCGUUAAGGAACUCGGCAAAAUGACCCCGUAACUUCGGGAGAAGGGGUGCUCUUUAGGGUUAACGCCCAGAAGAGCCGCAGUGAAUAGGCCCAAGCGACUGUUUAUCAAAAACACAGGUCUCUGCUAAACCGUAAGGUGAUGUAUAGGGGCUGACGCCUGCCCGGUGCUGGAAGGUUAAGAGGAGUGGUUAGCUUCUGCGAAGCUACGAAUCGAAGCCCCAGUAAACGGCGGCCGUAACUAUAACGGUCCUAAGGUAGCGAAAUUCCUUGUCGGGUAAGUUCCGACCCGCACGAAAGGCGUAACGAUUUGGGCACUGUCUCAACGAGAGACUCGGUGAAAUCAUAGUACCUGUGAAGAUGCAGGUUACCCGCGACAGGACGGAAAGACCCCGUGGAGCUUUACUGUAGCCUGAUAUUGAAAUUCGGCACAGCUUGUACAGGAUAGGUAGGAGCCUUUGAAACGUGAGCGCUAGCUUACGUGGAGGCGCUGGUGGGAUACUACCCUAGCUGUGUUGGCUUUCUAACCCGCACCACUUAUCGUGGUGGGAGACAGUGUCAGGCGGGCAGUUUGACUGGGGCGGUCGCCUCCUAAAAGGUAACGGAGGCGCUCAAAGGUUCCCUCAGAAUGGUUGGAAAUCAUUCAUAGAGUGUAAAGGCAUAAGGGAGCUUGACUGCGAGACCUACAAGUCGAGCAGGGUCGAAAGACGGACUUAGUGAUCCGGUGGUUCCGCAUGGAAGGGCCAUCGCUCAACGGAUAAAAGCUACCCCGGGGAUAACAGGCUUAUCUCCCCCAAGAGUUCACAUCGACGGGGAGGUUUGGCACCUCGAUGUCGGCUCAUCGCAUCCUGGGGCUGUAGUCGGUCCCAAGGGUUGGGCUGUUCGCCCAUUAAAGCGGUACGCGAGCUGGGUUCAGAACGUCGUGAGACAGUUCGGUCCCUAUCCGUCGUGGGCGUAGGAAAUUUGAGAGGAGCUGUCCUUAGUACGAGAGGACCGGGAUGGACAUACCUCUGGUGUACCAGUUGUCGUGCCAACGGCAUAGCUGGGUAGCUAUGUGUGGACGGGAUAAGUGCUGAAAGCAUCUAAGCAUGAAGCCCCCCUCAAGAUGAGAUUUCCCAACUUCGGUUAUAAGAUCCCUCAAAGAUGAUGAGGUUAAUAGGUUCGAGGUGGAAGCAUGGUGACAUGUGGAGCUGACGAAUACUAAUCGAUCGAAGACUUAAUCAA